This is a long non-coding RNA of Astatotilapia calliptera (eastern happy), 829 nucleotides long. The record is from Ensembl. Lineage: Eukaryota; Metazoa; Chordata; Actinopteri; Cichliformes; Cichlidae.
AAAUGUUAAAAAUGAGAAAAAUACAAGCAACAGUGUCCAAAAGAAUAGGAAUCUAAUGGUGUUUGAAUGGUUUUUCUAAGUUGAACGGUUUUGAAGGAGUAGGCUUUCAAAAAACGUACGGAAUAGAUAAAAUAUAAUAACUAGAAAGUGCAUUUUCUGAAGAAACUGCAGUGUGAAUGCUUGAAUCUGAAUGUAUGCACUGAAAUGAAUUAAUUGCUGAAUUUUGAGUUAAAAAUAUUGAAUGAGAUUAAAAAAAAACAAAAAAAAAAAACGAAUUUAACCUGAAAACAAAGGUGCUGAACUGCUAAAAGCUGAAGGUUACACAGAAGAAGGAGUUGGAAAAAAACUGAAAAUGUUUUAAAUGUAAAUUAGAAAACCCUAAGAAAUGAGAAAAGAACAUUUAGAGUCAGAAAACAUCUGAAUGAAUAUUAAAAGGUCAUAUUCUUUGAAUCACUGAAUGACUCAAAUGUGAUCCCUCCACUUUGAUCCACACAGUUUAAAAAGUUUAAAUGCCUGAGCUUUGAAAGAUACGGUGUUGGAAAGAGAACAAUAAUGGCGACAAUUUGAGGGUAAAAUGAUGGCUGUAACACUGUGGACACAGCAGCAGUUGAAAGAGAAGUGCUUAAGAUGAAUCUUGGUACAGUGGCAGAGAGAGAGCUCGUUAAGCAGGCAGGUGUGAGCCUGGUUGCUAUAGUGACCGCACCCAAUGGCUCCAUACACACGUACACAGACAUGCGCCUCACUUUUGCUGCUUAAAAUGAACAGAAAAGUCAGGCCGAAACAAAUCGUUCCCAAAUGAAAAGUAAAAGUCGUAUUGACAAAAUUCUUU